CCCUUAGAUGUCCUGGGCCGCACGCGCGCUACAAUGACUCACUCAGAAAGUUUUUCCUGAUCCGGAAGGAUUCGGGUAAUCUUCAUAGCAUGAGUCGUGUUAGGGAGCGAUCUUUGCAAUUAUAGAUCUUGAACGAGGAAUGCCUAGUAAGUGCAGCUCAUCAGGCUGUACUGAUUACGUCCCUGCCCUUUGUACACACCGCCCGUCGCUCCUACCGAUUGAGUGGUCCGGUGAACCUUCUGGAUUAAGCAGCAAUGCUUGAGAAGUUAGGUAAACCUUAUCACUUAGAGGAAGGAGAAGUCGUAACA
Molecule: ribosomal RNA, 308 nt
Filed under: uncultured eukaryote
Lineage: Eukaryota
Description: partial 18S ribosomal RNA
Rfam family: Eukaryotic small subunit ribosomal RNA
Source: RNAcentral